UUCUUUGCUCAGGUUCAGAGGAGGCCGGCCAGUGUGGAGGGGGGAGGUGUGGGAGCUUGCCUGCCUCUGGGCAGGGCAGGAAGCAGAGACUGGAGAGGAAGCACUGUUGAGCUUUAAGCCUCAAGGCCGCCCAUCGUUUUCCAGUAAGGCUCCUCACUCAAAGAGGGCUUCCAGAAGGUGCUGCCCAGAGUCACAGCUCAGAGGAUCUAGAUGGGGCUGAGACUACACCUGUGCCACAGAGCCUGGUUCUAUGUUGACUCUUUAAAUCACACAUGUCCACAGAACAAAACACAUGGAAGUCAGCAUGGCAAAUGGAUGGCACUAGAAGAAACCAUCCUGAUUGAGGUAACCCAGUCUCAAAAAGAGAAACAUGGAGGGGAAAAAAAGAAGGCAAACAUGAACAAAAGGGAGAAAGAAAAAGAAACAAAUUCUGGUCUUUGUAAGCUGCCAGUCCUCUGUGGUUGUAACAGCAGCUUUCAUGCAGGGGAUGCUCUAGCAGAUGUCAGCAAGUAGCCAUCCCCCGCCAUGAUAGACUGCACCCUGAAGCCGUGAGCCGAUACAAACCCUUCCUCCUGGAGUUACUUCUGGUCAGGUGUUGGUGACAAUGAUGCUGUCUAUUCCAUGACAGUGCUAUGAGCAUCAAGAGGACAACGUCUGUAAACUGCGUGGCCCAGAGAAAAUAUUCAAAUAUACAUGAGUAAGUCAUGAAGAUGGAGUGUGUCAGUUACAAGCACACACAUGCAUGAGGAACCUGCUUUAGAAACAGGUGGAUCUCGUGGACUAAAUAAAUAAAUAAAUAAAUAAAUAAAUAAAUAAAUAAAUAAAUAAA
Long non-coding RNA from Mesocricetus auratus (golden hamster), 829 nucleotides. RefSeq lists it as uncharacterized. The record is from RefSeq and is a predicted model, not a curated record. The transcript is spliced from 5 exons. Lineage: Eukaryota; Metazoa; Chordata; Mammalia; Rodentia; Cricetidae.